This 324-nucleotide ribosomal RNA is filed under the name uncultured eukaryote. RNAcentral describes it as "partial 18S ribosomal RNA". It matches the Rfam family "Eukaryotic small subunit ribosomal RNA", at positions 1470 to 1796 of the family's 1831-position model. The record is from RNAcentral.
CCCUUAGAUGUUCUGGGCCGCACGCGCGCUACACUGAUGCAUUCAACGAGUUUCUUCCUGGUCCGAGAGGAAUGGGUAGCCUUUUGAAAGUGCAUCGUGAUAGGGAUAGACUAUUGCAAUUAUUGGUCUUCAACGAGGAAUUCCUAGUAGACGUAGUCCAUCAGACUGCAUCGAUUACGUCCCUGCCCUUUGUACACACCGCCCGUCGCUCCUACCGAUUGAAUGCUCAGGUGAGCCAUUCGGACUUUCAUCAUGCUGGUUUCCAGUUUUGAUGAAGGAAAGUCUUGCGAACCUUAUCAUUUAGAGGAAGGAGAAGUCGUAACA